UACGUAGGAGGCAAGCGUUGUCCGGAUUUGCUGGGUGUAAAGGGCGCGUAGGCGGGAUGAUAAGUCAGAUGUGAAAUCUCCAGGCUUAACCUGGAAGCUGCAUUUGAAACUGUCGUUCUUGAGUGUCGGAGAGGCAAGUGGAAUUCCUAGUGUAGCGGUGAAAUGCGUAGAUAUUAGGAGGAACACCAGUGGCGAAGGCGACUUGCUGGACGAUAACUGACGCUGAGGCGCGAAAGCGUGGGGAGCAAACAGG
RNAcentral lists this ribosomal RNA (253 nucleotides) under uncultured bacterium. RNAcentral describes it as "partial 16S ribosomal RNA". It matches the Rfam family "Bacterial small subunit ribosomal RNA", at positions 524 to 776 of the family's 1533-position model. The record is from RNAcentral.